AGGAACCCGUACACCCCCUGCUGGGUCACACUUCUCCACACUCCUCCUGCCUUUGUCUGACUUAUCAGACAGGAUAAAGUCAUUUUUAAAUGGAGCAAAGCUUAAUGGUUUUUGAGGUACCCACCAGCUUUUAUCUGUGAAAAGCCCUGGAAAAUCUCCCCCACCCACAAAUACUUAACAGAGAGUGAAAUGGAGGCACAGAAGUAGAUCAGAUAAAGUGAGAGCUGAGGAGCUUCGGGCUCACAGGACAUCAUCACCCUGGAGAAAAGAGCAGCUAGUCAUUCUCCUAGAGGAGCACAAACACACACAUUCUGAAAGGAGAGAGUAAAGAGGAAAAGCUGUAGGCUGGGAGCAGAGUCACUGGGUCAGGAGCUGGAGGAAGCCACAUCACAUGCGUCAUUUAAAAGCAAACUUGAAGCAAAAGGCACUUGAAAACUCACCAUGGGGAACAAUCAUGCUCAGGGCAGUAAAUAACUGACUUUGUCUUGUU
Non-coding RNA from Taeniopygia guttata (zebra finch), 490 nucleotides. The record is from RefSeq and is a predicted model, not a curated record. NCBI's taxonomy places the organism in Eukaryota, Metazoa, Chordata, Aves, Passeriformes, Estrildidae.